Molecule: ribosomal RNA, 229 nt
Filed under: uncultured bacterium
Lineage: Bacteria
Description: partial 16S ribosomal RNA
Rfam family: Bacterial small subunit ribosomal RNA
Source: RNAcentral
UCCGUAGGCGGGCAGCUCAGUCCGUGGUGAAAGUUUGCAGCUCAACUGUAAAAUUGCCAUUGAUACUGGUUGUCUUGAAUUAAUGUGAAGUGGUUAGAAUAUGUAGUGUAGCGGUGAAAUGCAUAGAUAUUACAUGGAAUACCAAUUGCGAAGGCAGAUCACUAACAUUAUAUUGACGCUGAUGGACGAAAGCGUGGGGAGCGAACAGGAUUAGAUACCCUGGUAGUCC